This is a small nuclear RNA of Tachysurus fulvidraco (yellow catfish), 186 nucleotides long. RefSeq annotates it as U2 spliceosomal RNA. Lineage: Eukaryota; Metazoa; Chordata; Actinopteri; Siluriformes; Bagridae. The record is from RefSeq and is a predicted model, not a curated record. The transcript has a single exon.
CUCACUACUCGAAGCUUUGUUUAUCUAGUAGUAUCUGUGCUAAUCAGUUUAAUUUCUGAUAUGUUCUCUAUAUGAGGACUAAAUAUUAAACGGAUUUUUAGAGCUGGGAGUCGGAAUAGGGGCUUGCGCCGUCGGCUCCACGUAUUGACCUGGUACUGCGAUACUUCCAGGCUUGGUAGUCUAUAU